AAAUGAAUAGACGGGCACCCGCACAAGCGGUGGAGCAUGCUGUUUAAUUCGAAGAUACGCGAAGAACCUUACCUAGACUUGACAUCCCUGGCGAAGCUAUAGAAAUAUAGCAGAGGUUACCCAGGUGACAGGUGGUGCAUGGUUGUCGUCAGCUCGUGUCGUGAGAUGUUCGGUUAAGUCCGAUAACGAGCGCAACCCUUAUUAUUAGUUGCUAACAUUUAGUUGAGUUCUCUAAUAAGACUGCCGGUGAUAAACCGGAGGAAGGUGGGGAUGACGUCAAAUCAUCAUGCCCCUUACGUCUAGGGCUACAGGCGUGCUACAAUGGCCAUUACAACGAGAUGCAAUAUCGUAAGAUGGAGCUAAUCUUUAAAAAUGGUCCCAGUUCGGAUUGAGGUCUGCAACUCGACCUCAUGAAGUUGGAAUCGCUAGUAAUCCUGAAUCAGAAUGUCAGGGUGAAUACGUUCCCGGGUGUUGUACACACCGCCCGU
RNAcentral lists this ribosomal RNA (488 nucleotides) under uncultured bacterium. Its description in RNAcentral is "bacterial SSU rRNA". It matches the Rfam family "Bacterial small subunit ribosomal RNA", at positions 903 to 1397 of the family's 1533-position model. The record is from RNAcentral.